Molecule: long non-coding RNA, 674 nt
Organism: Papaver somniferum (opium poppy)
Lineage: Eukaryota; Viridiplantae; Streptophyta; Magnoliopsida; Ranunculales; Papaveraceae
Exons: 2
Source: RefSeq, a predicted model, not a curated record
UCACGAGUAUCUUUUUGGCUAUCAGGAAAAGAAAAUGAAAAAAAAAAAGAGCAUUUUUAUUUUUUAUGUAUCUGAAGGAGUAGAGAUUCAGGAAUCGAAGAUAACUAUGUUUUGUUAGAGAUGAACGCCCAAAACCGUAGCAAUAACCACAGAGAGAUUCCUCAAGGUAGAGGCAUUCAUCUUGAGAUCGGAGGUCCAAGUCAUGAUGAUGCAGAUUUUAAUAUGGAAGAUGUUGAGAAUGGAAUCAGGGAACCAAACCUUCUGGUGCACCAUCUCCCUGCAGCUGAAUCAACCAUAAGGACUGCAAAUCAGGUUCAGGGUCCUACAAGGGAUGAAAAUUAGUCAUAGGCAUAACAAGAAAUGCAGAAGAGGCAGAGAGUCUAGCAGUUUUUGAAGCCAUUAAAUGGGCCAGAAGCAAGAACUUGGAUUCUAUCAGUCUCUACAGUGAUGCAAACAAGAUCAUGGAUUACUUAGAAAAUAAAAAUAAUGGGUUAGCUUGGUUCAGUAGCACCAUUUUAGAUGACUGUCAUUUGAUUUUAAAUUCCUUUUCCUUUUCUAAAACUAGCCAUCUCAGUAGAGAUUUCAAUUCAGUUGCUGAUAAAUUAGCAAAGCAUUGUAGAAGAACCAAUACUUGUAAUGAGUGGUGGAAAAUUUCUCCUGAUUUCGUCUCACAA